UAGGUCAGGAUACCUGAGAAAUGAGGGUAACACUGAAUAGAGAAAAAAUCUGGAAGGAAUUUUUCUGAAAAGCAAUGCCUAAGGAUGGGAUGGCGGCCGAUUAGGUAGUUGGUGAGGUAAAGGCUCACCAAGCCGAAGAUCGGUAGGGGCCUUGAGAGAGGUAGCCUCGAGAAGGGUACUGAGGAACUGACCCUAGCCCUACGGGGUGCAGCAGGCGCGAAAACUUUACAAUGCACGAAAGUGUGAUAAGGGAAUCCAAAGUGCUAGUACUUUUAGUAUUAGCUUUUUUCAAAGGCAAAAACUUUGAAGAAUAAGUGGUGGGUAAGACCGGUGCCAGCAGCCGCGGUAACCCCGGCGCCACAAGUGGCAUCCACAUUUACUUGGCCUAAAGCGUCCGUAGCCGGUUUGAUAAAUCUCUUGUGAAAUCGUUAAGCUCAACUUAACGACGGGCAGGAGACACUUUCUUACUGGGAACCGGGAGGAGUCAGAGGUAUUCCUUGGGGAGCGGUAAAAUGCUAUAAUCCUCGGAAGACCACCUGUGGCGAAGGCGUCUGACUAGAACGGAUUCGACGGUGAGGGACGAAAGCUAGGGGAGCGAUCCGGAUUAGAUAUUGGAGAUCUUCUCAACGAGUUGUUCAGGAAACAUUAUCGAUCGCAAACAGACACUGAUAAUGCGGAAAGAAUAAUUUUUAUGUUGAUCUCUGACUAAUUACCCGAGUAGUCCUGGCUGUAAACUCUGCGAGCUAGGUGUUGCACAUUCCUAGAGAAUGCGCAGUAUCGUAGCGAAGGCGUUAAGCU
Molecule: ribosomal RNA, 798 nt
Filed under: uncultured euryarchaeote
Lineage: Archaea; Methanobacteriati; Methanobacteriota
Description: bacterial SSU rRNA
Rfam family: Archaeal small subunit ribosomal RNA
Source: RNAcentral